UCCCUGGUGGCUCAGACGGUAAAGCGUCUGCCUGCAAUGCGGGAGACCCAGGUUUGAUUCCUGGGUUGGGAA
This 72-nucleotide transfer RNA is filed under the name Bos taurus (domestic cattle). It matches the Rfam family "tRNA". Rfam says of the family: Transfer RNA (tRNA) molecules are approximately 80 nucleotides in length. Their secondary structure includes four short double-helical elements and three loops (D, anti-codon, and T loops). Lineage: Eukaryota; Metazoa; Chordata; Mammalia; Artiodactyla; Bovidae. The record is from Rfam by way of RNAcentral. RNAcentral also lists the same sequence under 1 other name.